Molecule: ribosomal RNA, 465 nt
Filed under: Vreelandella stevensii
Lineage: Bacteria; Pseudomonadati; Pseudomonadota; Gammaproteobacteria; Oceanospirillales; Halomonadaceae
Description: partial 16S ribosomal RNA
Rfam family: Bacterial small subunit ribosomal RNA
Source: RNAcentral
CCUACGGGUGGCAGCAGUGGGGAAUAUUGGACAAUGGGCGAAAGCCUGAUCCAGCCAUGCCGCGUGUGUGAAGAAGGCCUUCGGGUUGUAAAGCACUUUCAGUGGGGAAGAAAGCCUUGGGGCUAAUACCCUCGAGGAAGGACAUCACCCACAGAAGAAGCACCGGCUAACUCCGUGCCAGCAGCCGCGGUAAUACGGAGGGUGCGAGCGUUAAUCGGAAUUACUGGGCGUAAAGCGCGCGUAGGCGGUCUGAUAAGCCGGUUGUGAAAGCCCCGGGCUCAACCUGGGAACGGCAUCCGGAACUGUCAGGCUAGAGUGCAGGAGAGGAGGGUAGAAUUCCCGGUGUAGCGGUGAAAUGCGUAGAGAUCGGGAGGAAUACCAGUGGCGAAGGCGGCCUUCUGGACUGACACUGACGCUGAGGUGCGAAAGCGUGGGUAGCAAACAGGAUUAGAUACCCCAGUAGUC